CAGUCGCCACGGGAAAACCAGCAGCCCAAGUGGUGGUCGCGUUUAUUGGGCCUAAAGCGCUCGUAGCCUGGCCGGUAAGUUCCCCGUGAAAUCGGGUCGCCCAACGAUUCGGCUUGCGGGGAAUACUGUCGGUCUUGGGGCCGGGAGACGCCGAGGGUACUCCGGGGGUAGCGGUGAAAUGCUGUAAUCCUCGGGGGACUACCAGUGGCGAAGGCGCUCGGCGAUAACGGGCCUGACGGUGAGGGGCGAAAGCUGGGGGCGCGAACGGGAUUAGAUACCCCCGUAGUCCCUGUCUCUUAUU
This 301-nucleotide ribosomal RNA is filed under the name uncultured bacterium. RNAcentral describes it as "partial 16S ribosomal RNA". It matches the Rfam family "Archaeal small subunit ribosomal RNA", at positions 459 to 759 of the family's 1478-position model. The record is from RNAcentral.